UUGGAGGGCAAGUCUGGUGCCAGCAGCCGCGGUAAUUCCAGCUCCAAUAGCGUAUAUUAAAGUUGUUGCAGUUAAAAAGCUCGUAGUUGAAUUUCGGGGUUAGUAGGUUGGUCAUGCCACUGGUAUGUACUGGUCUCACUGACUCCUCCUUCCUGAUGAACUGUAAUGCCAUUAAUUUGGUGUUGCAGGGAAUCUGGACUGUUACUUUGAAAAAAUUAGAGUGUUUAAAACAGGCUAACGCCUGAAUACAUUAGCAUGGAAUAAUGAAAUAGGACGUUCGAUCCUAUUUUGUUGGUUUCUAGGAUUGACGUAAUGAUUAAUAGGGAUAGUUGGGGGCAUUAGUAUUCAAUUGUCAGAGGUGAAAUUCUUGGAUUUAUUGAAGACUAACUACUGCGAAAGCAUUUGCCAAGGAUGUUUUCAUUAAUCAAGAACGAAAGUUAGGGGAUCGAAGACGAUCAGAUACCGUCGUAGUCUUAACUAUAAACUAUGCCGACUAGGGAUCGGAUGAUGUUAAUUUUUUAAUGACUCAUUCGGCGCCUUACGGGAAAC
This 549-nucleotide ribosomal RNA is filed under the name uncultured Glomeromycotina. RNAcentral's name for it is "SSU rRNA". It matches the Rfam family "Eukaryotic small subunit ribosomal RNA", at positions 548 to 1098 of the family's 1831-position model. Lineage: Eukaryota; Fungi; Glomeromycota. The record is from RNAcentral.